GAAACCAUUGAGCAAACUUGGAAGACUGGGCCGUGCAAGGGCUCCCUGUCUCACCUGCUUUAACAUCCUGAUGCUCAAUGAAACCAGACGAACCAACACCAUUUAGUGUCAGUGCACUGCCAAAGAGCUUGUCAAGGAUCGAGGUUGAAUGGUUUGGACUGGAUUCACCCACAACUUUACUCCCCGUGACAUCCUUAGCAUCAAGCUCUAUUACUUCACUGUUCUCUGAAGUCUCAAAAGCUGCCGAAAGUUUAGAAGUCUUGUAAUAUUGACUAUCCAUGCCGACUGCUUCACUUGAAACAACCAACGCUGAUGACAAAUUCAGAAUCUUUUCACUUUGGUUGACUGCAACAUGAAUAAUUGGACCGCUAUGCUGCUGCUCUCUUGAAUCCAUCUGUUCUAGAAAUUGUUUCUCCUCUACAUUAUUAGAUGUCCCACUAAGUGAAUGGUUUCCUUUGGUAUGCAAAUGGCUACUCUCGUGUUCAUUGCCAAUCUCUGAUGGUUGAGGGUGAAUCAAAGAUUUUAUUCCAAUAUUCUUCUCCACUAUAGUGCUUGAAAACCCUGGAGGCACAAGAGGUCUAGAUACAGGAGCUGGUGAGGGAAAGGAAGACUUAUCAGAAUCAGUAAUUGAAGAAGGCUGUGUCACCGCUUCAUCUGAUUCAUUUUUUCUAAUCACAAGUCUCUUAUCAUCUUUUGGAUCCUUCAUCAACUCACUAAUAUCGAAGUCAUCCUUACCCUUCUCUGGAUUCAACUUCUGCUUUUCUUGAAAAGCUUUAUGUUGUUCCUUCCUCAUCAGUUCAAAGGA
RNAcentral lists this unclassified non-coding RNA (805 nucleotides) under Hevea brasiliensis (rubber tree). The record is from RNAcentral. Lineage: Eukaryota; Viridiplantae; Streptophyta; Magnoliopsida; Malpighiales; Euphorbiaceae.